This 239-nucleotide long non-coding RNA is filed under the name Bos taurus (domestic cattle). Its description in RNAcentral is "long non-coding RNA NONBTAT025601". Lineage: Eukaryota; Metazoa; Chordata; Mammalia; Artiodactyla; Bovidae. The record is from RNAcentral.
AAACCAAGUCUUAUUCAUAAGUUUGCCUUGUUUUGAAGUCAUGUUAGCCAACUUUGACAAGGACAGUUCUCCCUGAAUGUUUUAGGUGGGCUAACACUAACACAAAGCUAUACAUGGAGGUCAUCUGCUAUCAGAAGAAACCUGUCUGUCUGGGCAUUCAACUAUAGGCUCAGUCUCAUGAAUCUGAGGUACAUGAGCCCCAAACCAUCUCUUCACUUCAGCAGGCAAGCUAACAUUUC